Molecule: long non-coding RNA, 2260 nt
Organism: Brassica rapa (field mustard)
Lineage: Eukaryota; Viridiplantae; Streptophyta; Magnoliopsida; Brassicales; Brassicaceae
Source: RefSeq, a predicted model, not a curated record
UUUCUAGGUGGGCUUAAACAAGAAUGUUAAAAAGUAGGGUCAAAAGAAUGAUGGGCUUCGUACCAAUAUUAAAAGAAUGACGUAUUUGGUCCCUAUCUCUUCAGACACAGCUCUGAAACACGGGGCGACUCUUUUUGUGUUUCCAUCAAAAAGUUAACCCCUACGAAAUCCUCUUAUAUAAAGUUUUAUCUUAACCGGAGAAACAUUCCAGCUCAAAUACUCAACGAUUCCUCUACCAGGCGCAGCUUAUAACAUCUAUCGAAAAUGUCUGCCUGUGAUGCUCACCUUUCGACUUUCUCCCGCCUUGGUCGUACAAAAAAUUAUGAAUUCAUGGGAAUCAUGUUUCUCUUCCUUGAUGAAAAGGCAAAGCCAUCUCUGAUCUAUCAUGACUUAUCUAUUACAACUGUCUUUAAUCGAUAAGAUUGUUAGGAUUGAAUUAUCAGAUCUGUCUCAAUCUGCAGGAUUGAAUUGUCGCCUCAUCCGUUUCCUUCAAAAAAGAGAUAGAUAUAUACUGUUUUGGAAAGGAAAGAGAUGGGUUCUAUAAUCAGUGAAAACAGAAUGAACGAAGCAGAGAUGGAGGUGGUGAUGAACAAAACCAAAGAGAUCGUCUCCGAGUAACCAGUCGCUGUCUUCAGUCAGAGGGUGAAACAGCUGUUGUCACGCUUUAAAGUGCUUGAGCUCGAUGAGAUGAGUUAGAAACUAAAAUAUCUGUCAUUAAACCUGGAUUAUAUCGUCCCAUGCUAAUUUUACAAUUUUGGCAGGUGAUGGAGGUGAGAUACAAUCAGCUUAUCUGAGUGGACAGGGCAGAGCACUGUUCCAAAUGUGUUCAUCAAAGGAAAACAUAUCGGUGGAUGUGAUAGUAAGAAAAAAAAAACUAUACGAACUCUCUGAACAUUUUAUGGAGAUAGACAGGUCGCUGGAAGAGCUAACUGAAUCUUUGGGUGUUUGUUUGCUUUUGUAUCAAGGAAAGCGAGCAUGUGUUAGUAUAACUUUUAACACAUAUUGUAUGUUAUACUUGACUUAUUAUUUCUAUUAAGUUUUCGGAGAAGACCAGUUUUGUUGAGAUUGCAGAGAGCAUGACCCUAUCCCUAUUUGUAGUUACAACAUGGUCAACUCUAGGACUAGACAAACAAGAGCAAAGGUGACUCCUUCUUGGUAUGUUCUUUGAAUCAUUGCCGCUUCAGGCCUUCAGACCUUGACAUUUUGUCUUUCAAGGUUCCGUGUUGAGAAACUUUUGUUGUCUUCAACAAUGAGAUUACAAACUAAUUAAGGAAAAUGCAUAUGACCUUUCUCUACCAGAGAUUCCUAGAAGUGCCAAAAUCUGACCCGAAGCAAACAAAAAAAACACGACAGGUUUAUACCAGUUAAACCUAUCAUCAUAGUCCCGAUUCUCCCUCUUCCUUCCGUUCAACCAUUCCUCUUCUCGCUGUACAUCUGUUAUGACUAUGGAGGUUCUUUUUUUUUUUUGUUAUGACUGAAGGUUCUAAUGCUGUUAAUCACCACCAUCAUCCACAUGAGCAGUUAAUGCAAACAAUUUAUAAUUUUCUCAAAAGCUACAAAUCGUCAACAAAAUCAGAGUAAAAGAGAAAUGACAUUUUGAUAGUACUAAGAGAAAAAUACAAAAGAAUAGACUUUAAGGGUAUCUCCAACCCAAUUUCAGUUUUUACUUUAAAAUGAACUAAAAGUGGAUAUGAAGUAAGAAAUGUUUCAAGCCAACUCGAGUUGGAACGUUUUUAUUCUAUAUCUACUUUUACUCCAUUUUAGAAGAAAAAUAGAGUUUUAUAAGAGCAUCUUCAUUUUCACUCUAUAAUUUACUGUAAAAUAGAGUAGGAAAUAGAGUAGUGAAAAACAAAAAAGUAAUUAAUACAUAAAUGAAGAAAUUUUUUAUUUUUUUGUUCAUACUCUAUUUCCUAUUCUAGUUUUGCAAUAAAUUAUGAAGUGGGAAUGGAGGUGUCCUGAGGUAUCAGAGAUUUGAUGUUGAAAAUCAGAGUAAAAGAAAAAAUGACAUUUUGAUCAAAUAAAAAGAGAGACAGAAAUGACAUUCAAUGAACUAUACGAUUUGUGUUGAAAAGAAAAAAAAAAUGAACUCCACGAUUAAAACGAAAAUUAGCAACCCAAAAGAAAGAGAUGAGAGAGCGAUUGUUCUUUAUGAGCAAUAACAAAUCUAAUAAAUAAUGAAGAAGUAGCAGAAGACCCAUAUGGUAAGAAUAUGUUUGACGUAUAUGGAAACCUAUAUGCUAAUGAUACUUUCACUCUUAGA